Molecule: long non-coding RNA, 780 nt
Organism: Neoarius graeffei (lesser salmon catfish)
Lineage: Eukaryota; Metazoa; Chordata; Actinopteri; Siluriformes; Ariidae
Exons: 2
Source: RefSeq, a predicted model, not a curated record
GAAUUUGUUCACUUACACAGAGCCAGUUAGUCAUUUGUAAGGAGAGACUGAGAGACAGAUCACUGUUGAACUUGCAGGAAUUACUGUUCCUCCAAACACAAGGACUUGACAAAUCCUCUUAGAGUAGAACUAUUAACCCAAGAAAGAACUUUUGAAGAGGAUGGCAAGCUCCUGUUUUUGGGCACUGGUGUGGCUGAUUGUGCUGCUAAUGAUUGGUUGGCCUUUAAGUAUCUUCUUUGGAGCGCUGUAUGGUCUCUUCGCCCCCCUGACCACCUGCCUCGGCUGUGACCACCUAACAGAUCUCCUGAUGACAGGAGCCAACCUGGGCAGGACGUGUGCGCACAACAUGAGACACGGCACAUCCAUGUGCUGAGGAUGUUGCGUUCCCACUCGGCUUUUACUGUUUUUAAUAAGAAACACUGCUUUCAAAAGAGAUCAACAUUUUUUUAAAGGCUCAGUAAAUUUCUAUUGUACUGUGAUGAAUUAGAACAGGAAUAAGUAUGGAAUUGUAAUUAAUUAUCGCACUUAUCCAGGGUCUGCAGUAUAGAUCAAGCUUUUUGCAAUGUUUCUUGUAUAAACUCAUUCUCUGUGAAAAUCUGAAAUAAAAUGAACAUCUCUAGUGAGUGUUCAAUACAACACAUUUUUGUUGUUCAGCAAAAUGGGUAAAACUUGAACUGUAAAGGAUACUUAAAGUUUAUCUGUGGAGCUCUGUAACAGGGUUUCUCUUUCAGAGAGAGUUCACGUGCUAGCAUUAUUAAACGUUAACAAUCUAAAUAACAA